This 239-nucleotide ribosomal RNA is filed under the name uncultured bacterium. Its description in RNAcentral is "partial 16S ribosomal RNA". It matches the Rfam family "Bacterial small subunit ribosomal RNA", at positions 100 to 334 of the family's 1533-position model. The record is from RNAcentral.
CCGGCACGGGUGAGUAACACGUAUCCAACCUGCCGUCUACUCUUGGCCAGCCUCCUGAAAGGAAGAUUAAUCCAGGAUGGCAUCAUGAGUUCACAUGUCCGCAUGAUUAAAGGUAUUUUCCGGUAGACGAUGGGGAUGCGUUCCAUUAGAUAGUAGGCGGGGUAACGGCCCACCUAGUCAACGAUGGAUAGGGGUUCUGAGAGGAAGGUCCCCCACAUUGGAACUGAGACACGGUCCAA